Molecule: ribosomal RNA, 510 nt
Filed under: Neivamyrmex pilosus
Lineage: Eukaryota; Metazoa; Arthropoda; Insecta; Hymenoptera; Formicidae
Description: eukaryotic LSU rRNA
Source: RNAcentral
AAACCGUUCAGGGGUAAACCCGAGAAACCCGAAAGAUUCGAACGGGGAGAUUCAUCGUCAGCGCGGCUGGCUUCGCGUCGGUCGGCGAUGUCCCGCGGUGCCGCCUCGUCGCGGCUCCCGCGCGGGCACGCUACCGUGCGCCGAUGUCCGGCUCGCGUCGUCGUGCACUUCUCCCCUAGUAGGACGUCGCGACCCGCUGGGUGUCGGUCUACGGCCCGGGGCUGAGGUGACUGUCGCGCCUGCACGUCAAACUGCGCGCGCGGCAAACUCCCGGCCGCCCGGCCGACUGCCCGGCGGUAUACGAAACGGUAUCAGGCCGCGCCUCGAGCGCGUCGAGCCCGUCGCAAGCGAGCGCCACGGUACCCGGAGGCACGGACCUAGCGCCGUCCCCGGUCCUGGCCCGCUGCUAGCUCGUACGGUGUAACCUUCGACCGGCCUGAGCACCGCGUCCCGGUAAAACGGGGCGCGGCAUACCGGUCGGCGACGCUACUGCUUUGGGUACUCUCAGGA